Molecule: unclassified non-coding RNA, 284 nt
Filed under: uncultured Physisporinus
Lineage: Eukaryota; Fungi; Basidiomycota; Agaricomycetes; Polyporales; Polyporaceae
Description: sequence contains ITS2
Rfam family: 5.8S ribosomal RNA (bases 1-52)
Source: RNAcentral
AACGCAUCUUGCGCUCCUUGGUAUUCCGAGGAGCAUGCCUGUUUGAGUGUCACGGUAUUCUCAAUUCUCUCAGUUUUUGCUGGGAUGAUAUUGGACUUGGAGGUUAUUGCCGGCAUCCUUGUGAAACCGGCUCCUCUUAAAUGUAUCAGUGUGAAUAUUCACUUCAUACUCAGUGUGAUAAUUAUCUACGCUGUGCAUGAGUGAUGCAACUUCAUGCUUCGAACUGUCGCGAGACCACUUUGACUUCUGACCUCAAAUCAGGUAGGAUUACCCGCUGAACUUAA